This 126-nucleotide small nucleolar RNA is filed under the name Erinaceus europaeus (western European hedgehog). Its description in RNAcentral is "Small nucleolar RNA SNORA63 (ENSEEUG00000020605.1)". The record is from RNAcentral. Lineage: Eukaryota; Metazoa; Chordata; Mammalia; Eulipotyphla; Erinaceidae.
AAGCAAGAUUUAGACUAGAAUAUAGCUAUUAAUGCUAUGUUGUUCUUCCCACUGCUGAAAUCAAAGUGCUUUGCUACACCUGUUUGGUUGAUUCUAUAGCAACCAGGGAAUCUUGGUCUUAUACAU